This 429-nucleotide ribosomal RNA is filed under the name uncultured archaeon. Its description in RNAcentral is "bacterial SSU rRNA". It matches the Rfam family "Archaeal small subunit ribosomal RNA", at positions 474 to 903 of the family's 1478-position model. The record is from RNAcentral.
CACCAGCCCCUCGAGUGGUGGGGAUGAUUAUUUGGCCUAAAGCGUCCGUAGCCGGCCGGGUAAGUUUCCCGUUAAAUCCAAUGUCUCAAGCAUUGGACUGCGGGAAAUACUGCCUGGCUAGAGAGUGGGAGAGGUGUACGGUAUUCUGGGGGUAGGGGCGAAAUCCUUUGAUCCCCGGAGGACCACCAGUGGCGAAGGCUGUACACUAGAACACGUCUGACGGUCAGGGACGAAAGCUGGGGUAGCGAACCGGAUUAGAUACCCGGGUAGUCCCAGCUGUAAACGAUGCAUGCUAGGUGUUGGGUUGGCCACGAGCCACCCCAGUGCCGCAGGGAAGCCGUUAAGCAUGCCGCCUGGGAAGUACGAUCGCAAGAUUGAAUCUUAAAGGAAUUGGCGGGGGAGCACCACCAGGCGUGAAGCCUGCGGUUU